AAAAAGAGUUUUUCCAAAAAUAGACAACUCAAAUUACUCAAAGAAAGGAAACCUGCUGUUUGCCUUCAGUGCCAUGUUUCUGAAAGCUGGAAGUCUGAAACCGGUAUCACUGGGCAGAAAUGAAGGUGUCAGCAGUGAUGUUCUCUCUCCAGAGGCUCUAAGAGGAAAAUGUUCGUUGCCUCGUCCCAGUUCUGGUAGCUGCUGGCAUUCCUGGCUGUGGCUACAGUCUUCAAGGCCAGUGGUUUCAAAUUUCUCUCUGCUUUGUCUUCCCUUGUCCUCUGAGUAGUUAAAUUUCUGCAUGUUUCCCUUCUUACACGUUCUGAUUGUAUUUGGGGCUCAUCCAGAUGACCCAGGAUAAUCUCUCCUUCUCAGAAUCUUUAAUUUAAUUCUAUCUGCAAAGAUGCUUUUCUUUUUUUUUUUUUAAUUUGCCAUAUAAAGUAAAAUUCACACAGGUCCAAGAGAUCAGGAUGUGGAUAUCGUUGCAGGACCAUUUUUUUAGCCUAUUACACUGAGCAACUUACGGUAGACUUCGGAUGUUCUCACUUUGAGUUAUGGUUUCGUUUGUAUCCAGUUCUGGGUGGUAAAGGCUGGUGGCAGUGGGUGGCAGAAUAUUCUCAUCUCUUCGGGACCUUCUGCAGAAAACUCUAGGUUUGUGGUUUACAGUGGUGGUCCUAGAAGUAUCAGCCUUACCUUAGGAACUUAGUAGAGAUGCAAAUGAUCAGUCUUCGACCUGCGGAAUUAGGAACUCUUGAGGCUAGGGCCUUGCCACCUGUGCCUAACAAGCUCUCCGGGCGAUGCUGAAGCACCCUGAAGUUUGAGAAGCACGUCUCUAGAUUACUGACAUUAUUAGUAUUAAAACCACAUUAGCCUUCCUUUCCCGUGUUUUUCCGCUUACUGCUAACGCUUAAAGUAGUCUAAGAUUUAGCAUCUAUAGCACCUGUUUUCCAUAGGGAUACAAACAUUUAGUACUGAUGUCUUGGCACUGAUACCAGUACCAGUUAUUCAUUUACUUAAUACAGGUUUUCACUGGGCUAAUUUUUGUCAGUUCUGUUUUGACUUAGAUGUAGACAUUUUAUAAAGUAACUUUGCUCUGGAUCUGGAAAUGAUGGGAGUUUUUUUCUGUAGCCCUUGAAAAUGUGGAUUAAGUUCCUUCGCCUGCAUGUUACUUCCUUGUCUUGUGUAUCGUCAUGUCCACUUGGGGAUGCCACAGAAAUUUCCAGUCUUCCACUCCUCCUACAUUGUUAGGCUUUUACUGUUAUGUGCUCUUGAGUGAAGGUGCCCAAGUGAGAUAAAUGAAUUCUUUUCCUCAGUGUAUCCACAUUGUGGCUCAGAAAAGAGACCUGUAAACAGAAUUGAAGUAGAACUAUCCCUAGAGGCUAUAGCCAUUGAGAGGCACAGCUUUGCAUGGCUGAAAUUAAAGCAGGGGCUCCACCGUGACUGAGCUAAACAUUGAAAAACCAGCAGAAAGGUGUGCGCCAAGCUAAGGAUGGACAGAAGGUGGGUGGGGGUCUCCAUGUGAAAAGGUCUGGAAGCCGCGGGGACACAGGGCUCUUCUGGGAGGUGACGGGCUGAAUACGUGGAAGCGCGGAGGAAACAGAGCCAAGCCGGGGCUGGACACACGAGGCUCCGGUCCCUGGUGAGACUCACGGAGGCCCCGAGGCGCCGGAGUGCCGUCUCCGGGCGACCCUCGUCGGAGGAGUCUCGUCUGGGCAGGGUGCCUUGGAGCCGAUAGUGAGUCCGGCAAUAGGACAGUUACACUCCUCGGGUUGAGAGUGGUGGCUGGUGUGGCAGGGCCAUCUUUUGAGAAUUGGUGCUUUCAGAAGAGUGACAAGCUGGUUUCUGGGAGGUUGUAGAGUUCAGGGUGGGACGUGCUGCGUUUCAGAACGUGUGGAAUGUGAUAAAAUUAAGGGUGGGUGGAUUUUCGACAAGUAAAUUUCCAAUGGAGUGUUCAGGUGGAAUCACAGGUAUUAUAUUGAAGAUUAAAUGAGGAAGCAGGAGAGAAUUAAUACACGAUGUUCUCUGGAAUAAUCUUCCCUGGCAUUAAUAAAUAUUUUAUCAUUAUGGCUACUAUUAGCAUGUACUUUUAUGCCAGUUCAUGCUGUUUUUUUUUUUUUUUUUUUUGCUUUGUUUUGUUUUCUUUUCAACUUUUUGGUGUAUUUUUUGGUAUGUAUGCAAUAAUAUUAGAUAAACAUUGAUUAUAGAUAGAAGUGUGUGUUUUAUUAACAAAUACUGAUUUUAAUUAUUGCUAUUGCCCUGUUAUUAAUAUUAAUGAAAACAGAACUGAAAGUUUCUCAUUUGAAUAGAUUACUGUUCCUCAAAAAAUUGUGCUUAGCAGGAGUUUCCAUCAUGGCCCAGUGGUUAACGAAUCCAACUAGGAACCAUGAAGUUGCAGAUUCGAUCCCUGGCCUUGUUCAGAGGGUUCCAGCAUUGCUGUGAGCUGUGGUGUAGGUCACAGAUGAGGCUUGGAUCACUUGCUGCUGUGGCUGUGGCACAGGCCCGCGGCUACGGCUCUGACUCGACCCCUGGCCUGGGAACCCCCAUAAGCCGCAGGAGCAGCCCCAAAAAAGGAAAAAAAAAAAAAAAAAAAAAAAAAAAAAAGUGCUUAGCAGAUAGUUUCCUGAAUGUUAAAAUGAUCAUGUUUUAGUUGAACACUUUUUCAAAUGGGUGUUAUGUUGCAAAAAUAAUUUACUUUACAGGUUUUUAAUUUAAAAGAAUAGUGUAUCAUAGAUGUAUUUAUUCAUACCUGAACACCUCAAGCAAAAAACUAAGUGAUUGUCUUAUAUUCUUUCAGGUUUGAUUUAAUUUCGAAUGAGAUUAUUCUUGCAGCGAGAUGUUAAUAAGACAAAAUCUAGGUAAGUAGAAAAUGACUGCUAAAUAUUACAUAUCAAAGUAAUGCAAGAGAGUAAUAAUAUAAAAAUGUGUGUUGUAAAAGUGUGCUUCCAAAUCCAAACGCAGUUUUGAAAUAAAAAUUUGCAAUUUUGAAGAGCCGACUUUUUGAUGGACUUGAUUUGAUGGAAGCAAAAGUACAGCUGUCAAACUGAAACUAAAUUCUUAGUUUCCCUGCUUAUAUGUUGCGAUUAACUUAAGUAUGCAGUUUCUAGUGACUGUUAAGCAUGUUAGAAGAUCCAGUUGGUAUUUGGUUUAGCCACUUGGAAACCAGUUGAGAGAAUUGCUAGGUUGCUUUGUUUCCUUCUUACUGGGUUAUAGUACUGGAGCAGUCUUUGCUCUUGUGAAUUGUACUUUCUUAUUUACGUUAACAAAGCACUUGCAAGAGUUCUCUGGUGGUACAGUGGGUUAAGGCGUUGUCACUGCUGUCGCUUGGUUUCAAUCCCUGGUCCAGGAAUUUCUGCAUGCUGCAGUGUGGCCAAAAAGAGAAACAAAAACAGGGAGUUCCCAUAGUGGCUCAGCAGUAAUGAACCCGACUAGUAUCCAUGAGGAUAUGGGUUCUAUCCCUGGCCUCACUCAGUGAGUUAAGGAUCCUGCAUUGCUGUGGCUGUGGUGUAGGCCAGCAGCUGCAGCUCUAAUUCGACCCCUAGCAUGGGAAUUUCCAGAUGCUUGCAGAUGCAGCCCUAAAAAGACAAAAAAGAAAAAAACAAAAAUGCAGCAAUUCUGCAGUUUUUAAAAUUUACCAAAAUGCGAUUCCUUUAUGUUAAUAUAAUGUUCAGAAUUGGAAGUGAUUAUUUUAAUAUUUUUUUGUAUUUCUACUGAGUGACUCUUCUAAUUUAAUAUUUUAAUUUGUUUUAGUUUUUUAAGACUGUUGCCUCUCAGAGAUUUGAAUUGUGAUGAUGUACUUUUAGACUGAUAUGUGAAAGAAUGCUUUUUAAUAAGUUGUUGAAGUGUUAAAAAGGUGCACUUUACUCUCUCUCGGUAAAUGAACAUGGCUUCAGGAUAUAAGCAGAUUAACAAGAAUGCUUUGAUCAAAUUGCAGCUAAGUUGGGUCUUUCUGUAAUCUAACUCAAUGUUCAGCUGUCAAAAAACUUGCUGAUCUCAAUGUUUAAAAAAAAAAAAAAA
Molecule: long non-coding RNA, 4011 nt
Filed under: Sus scrofa (pig)
Lineage: Eukaryota; Metazoa; Chordata; Mammalia; Artiodactyla; Suidae
Description: lncRNA (ENSSSCG00065029347.1)
Source: RNAcentral